GGGGGUGUAUGCAAAACGGAGAACGCGGCUUGAUUUUCAAUCAAGCGCCCGAAGGGCUUUGCGGGUUCGAGUCCCGCCGCCCCCGCCA
RNAcentral lists this transfer RNA (88 nucleotides) under Acidobacteriota bacterium. RNAcentral describes it as "tRNA-Glu". It matches the Rfam family "tRNA". Rfam says of the family: Transfer RNA (tRNA) molecules are approximately 80 nucleotides in length. Their secondary structure includes four short double-helical elements and three loops (D, anti-codon, and T loops). The record is from RNAcentral. Lineage: Bacteria; Pseudomonadati; Acidobacteriota.